AGCAGCCGCGGUAAUUCCAGCUCCAAUAGCGUAUAUUAAGGUUGCUGCGGUUUAAAAGCUCGUAGUUGAAUUUCGGGAUUGAUGCAUCGGUCGUGCCUUAAGGGGUAUGAACUGGUGUAGCCAAUUUCUUACCUUCUGGUGAAUUGUGAUGUCCUCCUUAAUUGGGUGUUUCAAUGAACUAGGACUUUUUACUUUGAAAAAAUUAGAGUGUUUAAAGCAGGCAUUAUUUGCUUGAAUACAUUAGCAUGGAAUAAUAAAAUAGGACAAUGAUUCUAUUUUUGUUGGUUUCUAGGAUCACUGUAAUGAUUAAUAGGGAUAGUUGGGGGCAUUAGUAUUCAAUUGUCAGAGGUGAAAUUCUUGGAUUAAUUGAAGACUAACUACUGCGAAAGCAUUUGCCAAGGAUGUUUUC
Molecule: ribosomal RNA, 409 nt
Filed under: uncultured Glomeromycotina
Lineage: Eukaryota; Fungi; Glomeromycota
Description: bacterial SSU rRNA
Rfam family: Eukaryotic small subunit ribosomal RNA
Source: RNAcentral